Molecule: unclassified non-coding RNA, 227 nt
Filed under: Hevea brasiliensis (rubber tree)
Lineage: Eukaryota; Viridiplantae; Streptophyta; Magnoliopsida; Malpighiales; Euphorbiaceae
Source: RNAcentral
GAUUUAUUAGUGAUAAUGUCCAUUUUACGUGAAAUAUUUAUAAUGUGAAAAUUCAUGUGAAUGAUACAUAAUAUGUAUGAAUGAAUGAUAAAAUUAAUGAUGGUUAGUUUACUCUUUGAGUUUGUGUAAACUUUCCCCAUUCCCCUAACCCCAGGUGCAGGGUUAUAGGACUACAAGAGUUUGUGUAAACUUUCAAAGUUAGUCUUAGCCUUUCUUAUGUAUGAUGU